UGGGGAAUUUUGGACAAUGGGCGCAAGCCUGAUCCAGCAAUGCCGCGUGAGUGAAGAAGGCCUUCGGGUUGUAAAGCUCUUUCAGUUGAGAAGAAAAGAUUGUAACUAAUAAUUGCAAUCCAUGACGGUAUCGACAGAAGAAGCACCGGCUAACUACGUGCCAGCAGCCGCGGUAAUACGUAGGGUGCGAGCGUUAAUCGGAAUUACUGGGCGUAAAGGGUGCGCAGGCGGUUCUGUAAGUCAGAUGUGAAAUCCCCGGGCUUAACCUGGGAACUGCGUUUGAAACUACAGAGCUAGAGUGUGGCAGAGGGGGGUGGAAUUCCAUGUGUAGCAGUGAAAUGCGUAGAGAUAUGGAAGAACAUCGAUGGCGAAGGCAGCCCCCUGGGUCAACACUGACGCU
RNAcentral lists this ribosomal RNA (400 nucleotides) under uncultured bacterium. RNAcentral's name for it is "bacterial SSU rRNA". It matches the Rfam family "Bacterial small subunit ribosomal RNA", at positions 355 to 747 of the family's 1533-position model. The record is from RNAcentral.